UACGUAGGUUGCAAGCGUUAUCCGGAAUUAUUGGGCGUAAAGAGCGCGCAGGUGGUUGAUUAAGUCUGAUGUGAAAGCCCACGGCUUAACCGUGGAGGGUCAUUGGAAACUGGUCGACUUGAGUGCAGAAGAGGGAAGUGGAAUUCCAUGUGUAGCGGUGAAAUGCGUAGAUAUUGGGAAGAACACCGGUGGCGAAGGCGACUUGCUGGGCAGCAACUGACGCUGAGGCGCGAAAGCCAGGGGAGCAAACGGGAUUAGAUACCCCGGUA
RNAcentral lists this ribosomal RNA (269 nucleotides) under uncultured prokaryote. RNAcentral's name for it is "partial 16S ribosomal RNA". It matches the Rfam family "Bacterial small subunit ribosomal RNA", at positions 524 to 792 of the family's 1533-position model. The record is from RNAcentral.